AAUCCCUGUAUCAAAUCAUCCAACAUCCAGCCAAUCAAGUUACGCUCCAUUGGUCAUGUGACGCCGAAACAGGAAGACGGUGAAGUUCAGGUGUGCUCCGGUCAGAGCUCAGCAUGGCUCAGAACACAAAUGAUGGUGCUACGAGAACAGAGGCAUACGGAGAGACCAUCACUUCAAUUGGAAAUGACCAGCUUGAAGGGGGAUCCAUACUGAUAAGGAUAAACAGCUGGUCCAGGACUUGGCCCAUGCCUGGGACCUCCCUUGCCUAACUGAGAAAAACAGGAGAUGGAUUUUUGAGAAGCUAUUG
Long non-coding RNA from Perca fluviatilis (European perch), 307 nucleotides. RefSeq lists it as uncharacterized. Lineage: Eukaryota; Metazoa; Chordata; Actinopteri; Perciformes; Percidae. The transcript is spliced from 3 exons. The record is from RefSeq and is a predicted model, not a curated record.